UGUUGAAACACCGGUUCUCAUCUAAUCACCGAAAUUAAGCAACAUCAAACCUGGUCAGUACUUAGAUGGGUGACAACUUGAGAAUAACAGGUAC
This is a non-coding RNA of Acanthosepion pharaonis, 94 nucleotides long. NCBI's taxonomy places the organism in Eukaryota, Metazoa, Mollusca, Cephalopoda, Sepiida, Sepiidae. The record is from the annotation of a GenBank genome assembly.